RNAcentral lists this microRNA (22 nucleotides) under Hyalella azteca. RNAcentral's name for it is "miR-190b*". Lineage: Eukaryota; Metazoa; Arthropoda; Malacostraca; Amphipoda; Hyalellidae. The record is from RNAcentral.
AGUAAAUCGGACAGGCAUACUA